This 577-nucleotide ribosomal RNA is filed under the name Rhodotorula mucilaginosa. RNAcentral describes it as "eukaryotic LSU rRNA". It matches the Rfam family "Eukaryotic large subunit ribosomal RNA", at positions 38 to 631 of the family's 3401-position model. The record is from RNAcentral. Lineage: Eukaryota; Fungi; Basidiomycota; Microbotryomycetes; Sporidiobolales; Sporidiobolaceae.
GCAUAUCAAUAAGCGGAGGAAAAGAAACUAACAAGGAUUCCCCUAGUAGCGGCGAGCGAAGCGGGAAGAGCUCAAAUUUAUAAUCUGGCACCUUCGGUGUCCGAGUUGUAAUCUCUAGAAGUGUUUUCCGCGUUGGACCGCACACAAGUCUGUUGGAAUACAGCGGCAUAGUGGUGAGACCCCCGUAUAUGGUGCGGACGCCCAACGCUUUGUGAUACACUUUCGAAGAGUCGAGUUGUUUGGGAAUGCAGCUCAAAUUGGGUGGUAAAUUCCAUCUAAAGCUAAAUAUUGGCGAGAGACCGAUAGCGAACAAGUACCGUGAGGGAAAGAUGAAAAGCACUUUGGAAAGAGAGUUAACAGUACGUGAAAUUGUUGGAAGGGAAACGCUUGAAGUCAGACUUGCUUGCCGAGCAAUCGGUUUGCAGGCCAGCAUCAGUUUUCCGGGGUGGAUAAUGGUAGAGAGAAGGUAGCAGUUUCGGCUGUGUUAUAGCUCUUUGCUGGAUACACCUUGGGGGACUGAGGAACGCAGUGUGCCUUACGGCGGAUUUCUCGAGAUCUUCACACUUAGAUGCUGGUG